RNAcentral lists this small nuclear RNA (107 nucleotides) under Ovis aries (sheep). Lineage: Eukaryota; Metazoa; Chordata; Mammalia; Artiodactyla; Bovidae. The record is from RNAcentral.
GUGCUCGCUUCAGCAGCACAUAUACUAAAAUUGGAACGAUACAGAGAAGAUUAGCACGGCCCCUGCGCAAGGAUGACACACAAAUUCGUAAAGCAUUCCAUAUUUUU